This 484-nucleotide ribosomal RNA is filed under the name uncultured bacterium. RNAcentral's name for it is "partial 16S ribosomal RNA". It matches the Rfam family "Bacterial small subunit ribosomal RNA", at positions 30 to 507 of the family's 1533-position model. The record is from RNAcentral.
AUUGAACGCUGGCGGCAGGCCUAACACAUGCAAGUCGAGCGGAUGAAGGGAGCUUGCUCCUGGAUUCAGCGGCGGACGGGUGAGUAAUGCCUAGGAAUCUGCCUGGUAGUGGGGGAUAACGUCCGGAAACGGGCGCUAAUACCGCAUAAGUCCUGAGGGAGAAAGGGGGGGAUCUUCGGACCUCACGCUAUCAGAUGAGCCUAGGUCGGAUUAGCUAGUUGGUGGGGUAAAGGCCUACCAAGGCGACGAUCCGUAACUGGUCUGAGAGGAUGAUCAGUCACACUGGAACUGAGACACGGUCCAGACUCCUACGGGAGGCAGCAGUGGGGAAUAUUGGACAAUGGGCGCAAGCCUGAUCCAGCCAUGCCGCGUGGGUGAAGAAGGUCUUCGGAUUGUAAAGCACUUUAAGUUGGGAGGAAGGGCAGUAAGUUAAUACCUUGCUGUUUUGACGUUACCAACAGAAUAAGCACCGGCUAACUUCGUG